GUUGAUUUUGAAUUAAAAAUGUCGUAACGACUCUCGGCAACGGAUAUCUCGGCUCUCGCAUCGAUGAAGAACGUAGCGAAAUGCGAUACUUGGUGUGAAUUGCAGAAUCCCGUGAACCAUCGAGUCUUUGAACGCAAGUUGCGCCCGAAGCCGUUAGGCUAA
This 162-nucleotide ribosomal RNA is filed under the name Chamabainia cuspidata. RNAcentral's name for it is "5.8S ribosomal RNA". The stretch from base 29 to 162 matches the Rfam family "5.8S ribosomal RNA", at positions 1 to 132 of the family's 154-position model. From Rfam's summary of the family: 5.8S ribosomal RNA (5.8S rRNA) is a component of the large subunit of the eukaryotic ribosome. It is transcribed by RNA polymerase I as part of the 45S precursor that also contains 18S and 28S rRNA. Functionally, it is thought that 5.8S rRNA may be involved in ribosome translocation. The record is from RNAcentral. Lineage: Eukaryota; Viridiplantae; Streptophyta; Magnoliopsida; Rosales; Urticaceae.